AUCUGGGUGCCCUCUUCUGGAGUGUCUGAAGACAGCUACAGUGUACUUACAUAAAUAAAUAAAUCUUUUUUUAAAAAGUGUUUAAACAAACAAACAAACAAGAAGAGAUUAUUUCUGGUUUGAAACCAGAUUUGUUUUUCAGUUUUUUCUUGAUAAAGGUCCAUUCACUCUGCUUAAAAAAAAAAAAAAAAGAAAGAAAGAAAGAAAGAAAGAAAAAAGAAAAAGAAAGAAAGAAAGGCCUGGCUUAGUGGCAUGGCACACCUUUAAUCCCAGCAGAGACAGGUGGAUCCCUGAGUUCAAUGCCUCAUCUACAGACCAAGUUCUAGAACAGCCAGAGCUACAUAGUCUUCAAAACCAAAUAAAAUAAAAUAAAAUAAAAUAAAAUAAAAUAAAAUAGUAUAAAAUACCUGAGCCAUGUGUUGGUUACGUACUCUUUUAAUCCCAGCACUUGGGAGGCAGAAGCAGGUGGAUCUCUGAGUUUAAGGUCAACCUAGUUUACAGAGUGAAUUCCAGGACAGCCAGAGAUACACAGAGAACCCUUUCUCAAUAAAUAAAUAAAUAAGCAAGCAACUAAACAGAUAUAUAAAUGAAUAGACUAGAUUAAGUGGCUGGGUGUGUACCCACUUGCCUCUCAUUCCAACACUUGGGAGGCAGAGGUAGAUGGGUCUCUGAGUUCUAGACUAGCCAGGGCAACAGUGAGACCCUGUCUCAAAAUAAAUAAAUAAAAUAAUAAAAUAUAAAAAUAAAAAAGUUACUUAUAACCCAGUGUGGUGGCACACACUUGUAAUCUCGGCACCAAGGAAGUUUGGACAAGGAGUGAGUUGUGAAUUCAAGGACCUGGGCCAUAUAGUGAGACACUGUCUCAAAAUCCUACUCCAGGGCUGGAGGAAUGGCUCAGCAGUUAAGAGUACUUACUAUCUGCUCCUCCAGAAGUCCAGAAUUCAAUUUCCAGCAACCACAUGGUGGCUAACAAUCGUCUAUAAUGGGAUCUGAUGGCCUCUUCUGUCUUGCGGGCAUACAUGCAAAUACAGCACUCAUGUACAUAAAUAAAUCUUUUCUUUUAAGCUGUACUAAAAACUUGCUUAUUCUUCUGUAGCCUUGGUGCUCCUUUCCUUCAGUUAUUUUGUUAGGUGUUUCCUUUUUAUCUUGGUUUGGUUGUUCGGGGGAGGUUGUUUUCAAGACAGGGUUUCUCUGUAUAGCCCUGGCUGUCCUGGCACUUGCUCUGUAGACCAGGCUGGCCUCUAAUUUGCAGAGAUUCGCCUGCCUCUGACUCCUGCGUGCUGGGAUUAAAAGGGUUCACUACCACGGCUCAACUGCAUGCUGAACUCUUUAUAAAUAUAAACAAAACUAGCCGGGGGCUGGAGAGAUGGCUUUUACAGACAUCCCAAGUUUGGUUCCCAACACCCACAUCAGGCAGUUCAUAUCUCCCUCUACCUCUGGCUCCAGGGGUGCUAAUACCCUCCUCUGGUCUCCCCUGACACCAGGCACAAACAUGUUAUACACAUACAUACAUGCAAGCAAAAACAAUCAUAC
This 1533-nucleotide long non-coding RNA is filed under the name Mus musculus (house mouse). RNAcentral describes it as "long non-coding RNA chr7:141352275-141353808". The record is from RNAcentral. Lineage: Eukaryota; Metazoa; Chordata; Mammalia; Rodentia; Muridae.